UAGGCUUGACAUGCAUGGGAAAGCCCUGAGAAACCAGGGCCCCUCUUCGGAGUCCAUGCACAGGUGCUGCAUGGCUGUCGUCAGCUCGUGUCGUGAGAUGUUGGGUUAAGUCCCGCAACGAGCGCAACCCCCGUUUCUAGUUGCCAGCGGGUAAUGCCGGGAACUCUAGAAAGACUGCCGGUGCCAAACCGGAGGAAGGUGGGGAUGACGUCAAGUCAUCAUGGUCCUUACGUCUAGGGCUACACACGUGCUACAAUGGCCGGUACAGAGGGUUGCGAGCUCGCGAGAGCAAGCCAAUCCCAGAAAGCCGGCCUCAGUGCGGAUUGGAGGCUGCAACUCGCCUCCAUGAAGCUGGAAUCGCUAGUAAUCGUGGAUCAGCUACGCCACGGUGAAUACGUUCCCGGGCC
This 407-nucleotide ribosomal RNA is filed under the name uncultured bacterium. Its description in RNAcentral is "bacterial SSU rRNA". It matches the Rfam family "Bacterial small subunit ribosomal RNA", at positions 976 to 1380 of the family's 1533-position model. The record is from RNAcentral.